UUCGAAUCGGUCUCAUAAAAUGGCUUGUUGGGGUGAGAUUGUGCCUCAAUCAGAGUAAUGACCCGAAUAGAAAUAAAUCGUAGACUGAAUGGGUAAAAUCUGUUAUAAAUAGUGACAUUUUUGUCGACGGCAGUUAUUUUCUCUCGACGUCGGUGAUGAUUUUGUUGGGGAUAAAACAAUUAAAACGGACUAAAAUGUGCUAAAUACAUAAUCAUCCCGGUUCAAAAAACUAAGCAGGAAAACAACGGAAUUUCACUGACUCGUGAAUGCUGAUAAUGCGUCGCUUCGCACAGCGCCAGGAAAUUGGCUAAUCCGUGGAUCUGCCGGCGAACCUUGCGAAGGUGAACUUGUUAAGUGCACAUACGUACGCGAAAGGGGUCCUGAUAACGCAGCUCAAAGUAUUCAGCCUUCUACCCUCGGUAACGGCGGAGAGUGCGGCAAAAUCAAUCGAUCACUGUGCUUUUAAACAAAUGUUAAAAUAUCGUUCUUAACUGAUAAUAAUGAAUUUCUCAAUAUUUUUAAGUAAGUAUACAAAA
Armigeres subalbatus is the source of this 536-nucleotide long non-coding RNA. RefSeq lists it as uncharacterized. The transcript has 4 exons. Lineage: Eukaryota; Metazoa; Arthropoda; Insecta; Diptera; Culicidae. The record is from RefSeq and is a predicted model, not a curated record.